This 253-nucleotide ribosomal RNA is filed under the name uncultured bacterium. RNAcentral's name for it is "partial 16S ribosomal RNA". It matches the Rfam family "Bacterial small subunit ribosomal RNA", at positions 524 to 776 of the family's 1533-position model. The record is from RNAcentral.
UACGUAGGUGGCAAGCGUUGUCCGGAAUUAUUGGGCGUAAAGGGCUCGUAGGCGGUUUGUCGCGUCGGGAGUGAAAACACUGGGCUUAACUCAGUGCUUGCUUCCGAUACGGGCAGACUAGAGGUAUGCAGGGGAGAACGGAAUUCCUGGUGUAGCGGUGAAAUGCGCAGAUAUCAGGAGGAACACCGGUGGCGAAGGCGGUUCUCUGGGCAUUACCUGACGCUGAGGAGCGAAAGUGUGGGGAGCGAACAGG